RNAcentral lists this ribosomal RNA (262 nucleotides) under bacterium T-1-48-2D. Its description in RNAcentral is "partial 16S ribosomal RNA". It matches the Rfam family "Bacterial small subunit ribosomal RNA", at positions 641 to 903 of the family's 1533-position model. The record is from RNAcentral.
CUUGAAUAAUAUGGAAGUAACUAGAAUAUGUAGAUGUAGCGGUGAAAUGCUUAGAUAUUACAUGGAAUACCAAUUAGCGAAGGCAGGUUACUACGUAUUUAUUGACGCUGAUGAACGAAAGCGUGGGGAGCGAACAGGAUUAGAUACCCUGGUAGUCCACGCCGUAAACGAUGGAUACUAGCUGUUCGGUUUUCGGACUGAGUGGCUAAGCGAAAGUGAUAAGUAUCCCACCUGGGGAGUACGUNCGCAAGAAUGAAACUCA